Molecule: ribosomal RNA, 253 nt
Filed under: uncultured bacterium
Lineage: Bacteria
Description: partial 16S ribosomal RNA
Rfam family: Bacterial small subunit ribosomal RNA
Source: RNAcentral
GACGAAGGGGGCUAGCGUUGUUCGGAAUUACUGGGCGUAAAGCGAGUGUAGGCGGUUGCCCAAGUCAGGUGUGAAAGCCUUGAGCUCAACUCAAGAAAUGCACUUGGUACUGGGUGGCUAGAGGACCGGAGAGGAUAGUGGAAUUCCCAGUGUAGUGGUGAAAUACGUAGAGAUUGGGAAGAACACCAGUGGCGAAGGCGGCUAUCUGGACGGUUACUGACGCUAUGACUCGAAAGCGUGGGGAGCAAACAGG